UAUCACAAGGAGACUACUCUGUUUCCUGAUCAAAACUAGUAGUAACUAGCAAGUCAGCCCAGCGUUAAGGCGCCAUUCUUCAAGAUGAAAUAGGAAAAGGUGACAAAAGCAUAAAGAGAUGACAAAAGGUACAAUGAAGAAAGUGGAACAAAAACAAGUUCUAAAGACCAGAAGCAAUGGGUUUCCAUUUUAUUCCAUUCUCUACAUUCUGUGUGACCUUCAACAAAUAACUACCAUGAUUCCUCAAAAUUGUUCUCCCUAAUCUACAGAAGGAAGAAGCAACAUUUGUCAACAUGGCAGCAGAGAAGCCGCAAGCCAGGGAGAACUGUUUUUGUAUAAAACAAAUAACUUAAGCAGUGCAGGAGUGGUUUUGAAUAAAGCUGCCAUAUGAACGGCCGCAAAGUGCAAAAUGCAGGUUGAAUCUGUGGAUGCAGAAACCACAGAUCCAAAGGACUAAGUAUCAGCAGAUAAUUAAUGAUACCAUGGAAAACUGCUCUCUCCUCACACCACAGGAGCAGUAACUUCAGACCCAGGCUACAAGGAUCCUCUUCCAUUGAAGACAUUUUUUAUUUAAUCUGCUUGGUUUCAAUGCCAGUCGAUCUGAAAUCCACACGAGGAACCUGGCUGUGUCAACAUGCAGAUGUGAAAUGACUCAGAGAGCAAACAGCAGGAGGAAGAAGGAAAUGAAAAGGGAGGGGGUGAGAAAGGAGAGAGAAAAGAAGAAAAAUAAACUGGA
Talpa occidentalis (Iberian mole) is the source of this 736-nucleotide long non-coding RNA. RefSeq lists it as uncharacterized. The transcript has 7 exons. The record is from RefSeq and is a predicted model, not a curated record. Lineage: Eukaryota; Metazoa; Chordata; Mammalia; Eulipotyphla; Talpidae.